Molecule: ribosomal RNA, 496 nt
Filed under: uncultured bacterium
Lineage: Bacteria
Description: partial 16S ribosomal RNA
Rfam family: Bacterial small subunit ribosomal RNA
Source: RNAcentral
AUGAACGCUGGCGGCGUGCCUAAUACAUGCAGGUCGAGCGAACGGACGAGAAGCUUGCUUCUCUGAUGUUAGCGGCGGACGGGAGAGUAACACGUGGAUAACCUACCUAUAAGACUGGGAUAACUUCGGGAAACCGGAGCUAAUACCGGAUGAUAUUUUGAACCGCAUGGUUCAAAAGUGAAAGACGGUCUUGCUGUCACUUAUAGAUGGAUCCGCGCUGCAUUAGCUAGUUGGUAAGGUAACGGCUUACCAAGGCAACGAUGCAUAGCCGACCUGAGAGGGUGAUCGGCCACACUGGAAGUGAGACACGGUCCAGACUCCUACGGGAGGCAGCAGUAGGGAAUCGUCCGAAAUGGGCGAAAGCCUGACGGAGCAGCGCCGCGUGAGUGAUGAAGGUCUUCGGAUCGUAAAACUCUGUUAUUAGGGAAGAACAUAUGUGUAAGUAACUGUGCACAUCUUGACGGUACCUAAUCAGAAAGCAACGGCUAACUACGUG